AGGAUUAACGCUGGCGGCGUGCCUAACACAUGCAAGUCGAACGAGGUAGCAAUACCUAGUGGCAGACGGGUGAGUAACGCGUGGUCAACCUACCGUUGAGUGGGGGAUAACUAGCCGAAAGGUUAGCUAAUACCGCAUACGUCUCCGAGGGGCAUCCCUUGGCGAUAAAAGGAGCAAUCCGCUCGAUGACGGGACCGCGUCCCAUUAGCUAGAUGGUGGGGUAACGGCCUACCAUGGCACCGAUGGGUAGCUGGUUUGAGAGAGCGACCAGCCACACUGGGACUGAGAAACGGCCCAGACUCCUACGGGAGGCAGCAGUGAGGAAUUUUCCGCAAUGGGCGCAAGCCUGACGGAGCGACGCCGCGUGUGGGAAGAAGGCCUUCGGGUCGUAAACCACUGUCGAAGGGACGAUAAUGACGGUACCCUUGGAGGAAGCCCGGCUAACUACGCGCCAGCAGCCGC
Molecule: ribosomal RNA, 462 nt
Filed under: uncultured bacterium
Lineage: Bacteria
Description: SSU rRNA
Rfam family: Bacterial small subunit ribosomal RNA
Source: RNAcentral